This 433-nucleotide ribosomal RNA is filed under the name uncultured bacterium. RNAcentral describes it as "partial 16S ribosomal RNA". It matches the Rfam family "Bacterial small subunit ribosomal RNA", at positions 29 to 507 of the family's 1533-position model. The record is from RNAcentral.
AACGAACGCUGGCGGCAUGCCUAACACAUGCAAGUCGAACGAGAACUUCGGGUCUAGUGGCGCACGGGUGCGUAACGCGUGGGAACCUGCCCUUAGGUUCGGAAUAACUCCCCGAAAGGGGUGCUAAUACCGGUUAAUGUCUUCGGACCAAAGAUUUAUCGCCUUUGGAUGGGCCCGCGUUGGAUUAGCUAGUUGGUAGGGUAAAAGCCUACCAAGGCGACGAUCCAUAGCUGGUCGGAGAGGAUGAUCAGCCACACUGGGACUGAGACACGGCCCAGACUCCUACGGGAGGCAGCAGUAGGGAAUAUUGGACAAGGGGCGAAAGCCUGAUCCAGCAAUGCCGCGUGAGUGAUGAAGGCCUUAGGGUUGUAAAGCUCUUUUACCCGGGAUGAUAAUGACAGUACCGGGAGAAUAAGCUCCGGCUAACUCCGUG